This 478-nucleotide unclassified non-coding RNA is filed under the name uncultured Archaeospora. RNAcentral describes it as "SSU rRNA". It matches the Rfam family "Eukaryotic small subunit ribosomal RNA", at positions 569 to 1054 of the family's 1831-position model. The record is from RNAcentral. Lineage: Eukaryota; Fungi; Glomeromycota; Glomeromycetes; Archaeosporales; Archaeosporaceae.
AGCAGCCGCGGUAAUUCCAGCUCCAAUAGCGUAUAUUAAAGUUGUUGCAGUUAAAAAGCUCGUAGUUGAAUUUCGGGAUCAGUUGGUCGGUCGUGCCUCGGUACGUACUGGUCAAAUUGAUUCCUACCUUCUGACGAACCACGAUGUCAUUAAUUUGGUGUCGCGGGAAAUCAGGACUGUUACUUUGAAAAAUUGAGUGUUUAAAGCAGGCUCGCGCUUGAAUACAUUAGCAUGGAAUAAUGAAAUAGGACGUUUGAUUCUAUUUUGUUGGUUUCUAGGAUCGACGUAAUGAUUAAUAGGGAUAGUUGGGGGCAUUAGUAUUCAAUUGUCAGAGGUGAAAUUCUUGGAUUUAUUGAAGACUAACUACUGCGAAAGCAUUUGCCAAGGAUGUUUUCAUUAAUCAAGAACGAAAGUUAGGGGAUCGAAGACGAUCAGAUACCGUCGUAGUCUUAACCAUAAACUAUGCCGACUAGGGAUC